Molecule: ribosomal RNA, 1000 nt
Filed under: uncultured organism
Description: bacterial SSU rRNA
Rfam family: Bacterial small subunit ribosomal RNA
Source: RNAcentral
UGGGGGAUAUUGCGCAAUGGGGGCAACCCUGACGCAGCAACGCCGCGUGAAGGAUGAAGGUUUUCGGAUUGUAAACUUCUUUUAUUAAGGACGAAAAAUGACGGUACUUAAUGAAUAAGCUCCGGCUAACUACGUGCCAGCAGCCGCGGUAAUACGUAGGGAGCAAGCGUUGUCCGGAUUUACUGGGUGUAAAGGGUGCGUAGGCGGCUUUGCAAGUCAGAUGUGAAAUCUAUGGGCUCAACCCAUAAACUGCAUUUGAAACUGUAGAGCUUGAGUGAAGUAGAGGCAGGCGGAAUUCCCCGUGUAGCGGUGAAAUGCGUAGAGAUGGGGAGGAACACCAGUGGCGAAGGCGGCCUGCUGGGCUUUAACUGACGCUGAGGCACGAAAGCGUGGGUAGCAAACAGGAUUAGAUACCCUGGUAGUCCACGCUGUAAACGAUGAUUACUAGGUGUGGGGGGUCUGACCCCUUCCGUGCCGGAGUUAACACAAUAAGUAAUCCACCUGGGGAGUACGGCCGCAAGGUUGAAACUCAAAGGAAUUGACGGGGGCCCGCACAAGCAGUGGAGUAUGUGGUUUAAUUCGAAGCAACGCGAAGAACCUUACCAGGUCUUGACAUCCAACUAACGAAGUAGAGAUACAUUAGGUGCCCUUCGGGGAAAGUUGAGACAGGUGGUGCAUGGUUGUCGUCAGCUCGUGUCGUGAGAUGUUGGGUUAAGUCCCGCAACGAGCGCAACCCUUGCUAUUAGUUGCUACGCAAGAGCACUCUAAUAGGACUGCCGUUGACAAAACGGAGGAAGGUGGGGACGACGUCAAAUCAUCAUGCCCCUUAUGACCUGGGCUACACACGUACUACAAUGGAUGUUAACAGAGGGAAGCAAGACAGCGAUGUGGAGCAAACCCCUAAAAACAUUCUCAGUUCAGAUUGCAGGCUGCAACCCGCCUGCAUGAAGAUGGAAUUGCUAGUAAUCGCAGAUCAGCAUGCCGCGGUGAAUACGUUCCC